This is a long non-coding RNA of Taeniopygia guttata (zebra finch), 6003 nucleotides long. The record is from Ensembl. Lineage: Eukaryota; Metazoa; Chordata; Aves; Passeriformes; Estrildidae.
UUUUUUUUUUUUUUAACCACUGGCUGUUUGACUAAAAACUUCUAGGUAGAUUUAUAAAGGAUGAAAUUAAAUGCUGGAAUGUAAGAAGGAGGAUAUUUAAGGGAGGGAAGACAAAGAGCAGUGAGGUGGAGUUAAAGGCAUGACAGUUGCACCAUGUUUCCUCUCCAUAGCCCUUCUUUUAUCAGAACAUCUGAGCCAGUCAUGGUGCGAGGAAGUCAGACGGGUCCUGCACCCUCCACUGGCUCUGGACCCUGGAUGUUUUGAGCUCAGGGUGCAAGGCUGAUCAGUCACUCAAGAAAGUUUCAAAGGUCUGGAGGAAGAUGCUAUUAGAGGCCUUGUUUAAAUAUUACAAGAUUAGUUAAUGAUUUUGACCAUAGAGGGUCUGGUUUAUGUUUACUGUUGCCACACUGAGGCGUAAACCUUUCAUAACAUGUACACAUGAAUAUAGGAAAUUAAAGGAAUAGUGGCAGUAUCUAAACCUCCUCACUGGCAGGGACUACAUGCCUGCUUUCAUUUCUGUGUAUAUCUGUACUUUUUCCCAUAAUAGACUCUGGGUUUGGCAAAGUAGGAACCCACACUUAGUAAGUGGGAUGUGUUUUUAGGUUUUCUGGUACAGACUUGUCUAUUGUGACUAACUCAUGUGAUUUCUUGCAUAAUCCAGGAUAUAGAACUUCUGUGAAUUACUUCCUGCAUCAUGUCCAAUAGCUGUGGUUGUUAGCAUAGUUUGCAAUCUACAGAGUUGAAAAGUCUUGUAAGGCAGUUUGAAAGCUGGCCAAAGGCUUAAGUCUCCUCACAGCUAAUAUGUAUUUCAUUUUUAAUAUAAACUUCUGUAGGUUUAACUUUGAGUGACUGGAGUUCUGUGUACCAGACUGAAGAGAUCACUGUUUCUCUGUAAUUGUCCCCAAACAUCCAGUAUGACCAAAAUUUUCCCCAAGCUUGUCUUGGUAAUUAUUUAAAACUAAUUAUGAGCUAUCUUAACCCUGCAAUGCUUCAAGCUGCUCUAAAAUUUUGUGCUGUACUUAGACUCAUGAAAACUCAGAAAUGAGUCAGUGCUUGGUCACAAACCAGUAUGUAAUGCGGGGAUAUGGUUGCACUCUUGAAUGAAUUAAGUUAGGUAUGUAAUUCCAGCUAGGUCACCCAGCAUGAGGUUUCAUUUCAAAUGCCUGUGUCAGGCAUUUGUUCAUCCAUGACAGGCCCAUAAAUUGAUAACCUAAUUAAAUUAUUUAUCAAGACUGUGGAAUUCAUAUAUUUUUCUGGAUGCACUAACACUGCUCUUUAGAACGUCUGAGGAAACAGCUUGCUCUGAGUGAGAGAUUCUGAUUUAGAGAACACAAACCCAGAGGAGUGCGGCUCCAGCUGCAUCUGGGAGAUCAUAUCUGGCUCCAAAAGGUUGUGACUGUGUCUUAUCAGUCCCUAGCUCAGUGGAACAGAGGGAGGACCAUAGGAAUAUCCAAAUGCAGGUAAUUAAUGUGUUGAGUUUUAACUUUGCAUCUGUUUUACUAAUUCAGUAGUUCUUUUCUUAAAUUCUUGAAUUCUUGAAACUCCAUCAAAUAAACUUGAUUUUACUUCUUGCCAAAAUCUCAGCUGGUACUGAGAGUAAUUUCAGUAUAUUGUAGAAAACUGAAUGCUUUGGAUGGGCAAACUGAAUGAAAGUACAUUAAGCCAUUUCAAAAAAUUCUUAAAUUCAGCCCUGAAUAUUGCACAGUUAUUUCUUGUUUUGCUGAAAGGAUUUACCUUGGGAUUGAUUAGCUUGAGAUUUGUUAUACUAAACUCCAAAUAGUCAUGCUUAUUCAUGUAUUUGACAGCCUCCAUAGCAUAUUCUAAGGCUACAGAAGGAGAACACAAUAUUUAUGAUGUAUGAGAUCUUAAACUUGUACCUUUAACACUGUAAAAUUUAUAUUGAUGACUAUACGUAUCAUUCCCUCCUCUGGUAUAAUACAGAGUCCUUAGACCUUAAUACAGAGGGUCUUUCUGCUCCACUAAUACUUUCAUUAAUCUGCCCUGAACAGCAAAUCUACACAUCUCUUAGAAUCAGCUACAACAGGUCAAGUGCAAGUCUAAUCUCCUUAAACCUAUGUGCUAUUUUCCCAUUUCUUCUAAUAAGAAUUAUUUUAAUUUAGUAUGUUCAUAGUAUUCACAUGCCUUCUAAAUUUCUCUGAGUUAUUAUUACCCCUGAAAUAGUCAGGUUUCUUAUUUAUACAACUUUGUUUCUUGCUUCCGUGCAUAUACCCAUGCUGAAAUUAUUAAGUCUGGAAAGCUGAUUUCUUGUGUUGAUUUUUACAGUAACUAGACAGCUAUUGUAAGUGACACACAGUAUCAGGAAUUUCUGUUACACUUUAAAAGUUUUUUAAUAGUUUUCUAUUCUUAAAUGUAAAAGAAAGCAAAGACAAAUAUUAAAAUAACAACAGCCUAGUGGCACAAAAUUAAAGUAACUGCAUCUUCAAUUAAUUGAACUGGGAGCCAGAAGGGUGGCUGGCUUUAAUGUAGGCUAAUUCUUUGAGGAGAAUGUCUGACUUGAGUCAUCUAAAUGUAAGUCACACAAUAAUAUUAAACAAGAGAUAACGAUCUCCCAAAUGCCUUUCAGAAGCAGAGAACACCCUUGAGAUAAUUCAUAGCAUUUGCAUACUUUAAAUCAUUGUCAACCAGCUGUCUUCCCAGCUUAAACCAUCCAAAUAUAUGUCUAAUAGUUCACAAUGAGCUAUUACUGGGUAUUUACUUUCCAGGACUCUCCUAAACUCAUGUCCCACCAAUUUGUAACAGGAGAGUCUACAAGAAUGGAAUGCAUGAUCACAGACCACUUAGUUUUCACCGAUUAGCAACCAACACCAGAAUUAGACCUUAACAUGACUUGUGUCUAAUGUUAGCCUGUCCUGCAAUCAUUUUUCUUGAUCUUUACAGUGGCAGGAAACCUGCUGAACAUAUUCCUAAGUUUUGCUCAAGAAAUGUCACGCUCUUAGAAAGGAUAUGGUGUAUGUCUUUCCUGCUCCUGCCUGCAUUACCUUGCACCUUGCCCAUCAUCUACUCCAAAGCUCCAGCAAAGCCCUGCCCAUGGCAUUUAUACAGCACAAAACUGGAUUCAUACAGAUGCUUUGUACCUGGGGCCAUUCUGAGACCACUUGCUUGUGCAGCUGCAUAAUUGGGUGUCUUCUCUAUGAAGCAGUUAUCUCUUUUUGAACCUGGGAUUUCUAAUGAGUGGUCCAUUGAUAGAGUAAAUAAACCUAAGUAUUUUAUGUGACUCACCAACAGCACUGAGAUGGUUCCUUUUUAUUAGGGGGAUCAGCGAAUCUCUUAGACAGCUAGAGGACAUAUAUGAUAAUUUUAGUUAAGAACAUUCUACUGCCCUAUUUGACAUUAGGUUUUUCUGCAGCACCAAAAACAGAAUCACACUCAGCCCUGAAGUAAAUCAACCUGCCUGACACAAUAGCUACUAAACUCUGUUCAUUUCUUUAUUAUACUGAGAUCAAAGCUGCACAGAGAUUCACAGCAGGAUUUCAAACAAGCUAAAACUUUGCUGGGAAUACCCUAGUUUGCUGUCCAUAAAUAGAGGAAACUUCUUUUAGCUGCACAUUAUUUUCAGUUUCCUUAAUUCAAAAGUAGCUCCCUAUAUGUUUCAUAAUACUAAGAGUUUAAAGAAAUGCUUAGGUGAACUAAGCUUUCAAUGGAAUUCAAUUCCUAAAAGGCUUCUGAAUACUUACAUCUGCUUUUGUACCAGACAAGUUAGGCCCUGGUAACACUGCUGCCCUUUGUUGCACAUAUGGGUACAAGAUGUUCUGCAGAUUCUGGACCUUCAUUGCCAAAAUGUUUGAAUAAUGCAAUCAUCACUGCAUUAUCUGAAGGUCUUAUAACACAGUAUCCCCUUAACAUAGUAUUCCUGGCUCUUGUACUACAAAGAUGGUGAAAAGACAGAGAUUAACUGAAUUGGUGUAGCAAGAGAGCCCUAUCUGCAUUGUAUCCAGAGAGGGACAGAGAAGAGGGACAGAGAAGAAGGACAGAUAAACCUGACUUCAAAUAUUAGCUGCACCAACUUCCCUAUACACUAAGCCUUUAGUGACUGGUUGUUGUGGUUAGAUGCUCAACAGUUCCUGACAGAUUAUGAGGAAUCCACACAUGACAGAACCUCAUGCUCAGACUUUUCUACUACAGCAGGCUGGUGACCAUACUAUGGUGGUCCCUUCCUCCCCAUACCCCUCACACCCUUUUUUUUUUUUUUUUCCCUGAAAAAGUAAUUUUUAAAUUUCAAGUACAGAAUGAAGGCUAAAUGAGGAUGACAGCCUCAUUUUCUGAAUGCCUGAGAGUGAAGAAGGGAUGUAACAGGGAGAAAAGUAGCCAAAAGCAGGUUGUCCUGUAUUUGAAGGCUGAAGGUUAGAGCAGUCUUACCAGAUGGCCUUUGGAAGUAAGGAUUACUCAUUACACAGGGUAUCUUGCUGCAGAAUUUUCAUCUUUUGAGCCGACCUUGUACAGGGAAUGCAAAUGUACCUAUUUACACUGCUCAAGUGGUGUAAAGAGUUUAGCGUAAAGGAGAAUGAGUCCCUGGCUGUUCAGAAUCUCCAGAGAUACUAUUUGUCACAGGCGUACACAGUCUGUUAAAACCAUCCAAGUGCUGACAGCACAAAAGAAACUCCAAGCUGGUAUCUUGUGCAGCAACCUAAAAUGCACAACCUGAAACACCAGGUCAGUGUAUUUCACACUGUGAUCUCUGUUUCAGCCAUAGCAAAGCAUUUAUAUCACUCAAGAUGAUUUGUUCUAGUUUUUAAUGUUAGCAUAACUCUUGCAUAAGGCUCCACAAUCAAACACAGGGCAUAAGACGCUAUGGAAACCAUUUUGAACUGUGGCUUGUCACCCCACAGAGGAGUCAAUAAUGUAACAUUUCCUACUGUUGAUUUACACUGGUCCCAAAUCAUCACUAAUGCAGACAGGUGGGAUCUCACCAUCCUAAAACAUAUGUGAGGACUUUGGCAACCUAUCCACUUAAGAAGAAAUGUGAACAUUUGAACAGACCCUGUCUUAUAUUUGAAGCAUGGUGCAAAGUGUUAAAGACUGUAUUUUUCUUAUGAAAUUUUUAUGUGCUUCCUUCGCCUUAAGGGCAGGUCAUCACACUAAGUACUUGUCUUAUUUAAAUACAUUGAGAAAUUCUAGCAGAACAGAGCUGUCCCAUCAGGGUAGGUACUUAAAUUAUGAAGGAUCCUGAAAAGGCUGCGUCCCAAAGGCCAGGCUACAGCCCUGUCUGGAAGAAGGUGCAAGACAGAGAUGUCCUUGAAGUGUCCAGCUACCAGGGGUGUAGCUGGUUGUAUACAAGCUGCAGUGAACAAAGACAGCAUGAGCUCUCCCAGGCUCUGUGCACACAUGUGCACCAGAAUAAUAAACAGGGGCUCCAGAGCUACUGCAUCAAAAUCUGUAUGAGCAGAUAACUUUUUCUUGUCAGUUCUAGGAGAUGAGACACUGCCAGUUCAUGAGGAUAUUGCUAAAAUAAUUUGGAAUUUAAUAUCACGUAGUCAGAAAAUUAUUCGGUUGGAAGGGAUCAUCCAAUUCCAAGCCCCCUGCCAUGGUCAGGGGGCUUCCAUUAGUCCAGGCUUCUCAAUGCCCCAUCCAACAUGGCAUGCUUAAAUUAAAAUCCCACCAGAAACAUCAUUUGCCCAACACCCAAAGAAUAUGCCAUACUACAAGAGCCUGAAAGAAAUGCAAAUGAUAAUUAAAAAAUAUUAGAAAAGUAUUCCUAAUUGUUUCUAUUUUGUAUGGCUGAACAAAAUUGUUAAGGUUUUGUUCCUAAAUCACAUAAAUUCUCUUUCACUCAGUCCCUGAGUUUUGUUGUGAGAGCUGAAGUGCUCUAUUCACUAUUCUGGAAUCCAUCCAAGCCAUAGGUCAGGAAAAGCUGACACCGUGGGAUGUCUCACAGAGACAAGCUGCUUUUUGAAAAGCACUCAAGAUGAGACAAGACGACCACCUAAUGCCUUCAACAAAUUUCAAAGAACAUCUAGAAGGAAGACAUUCCCUCUCUUGCAGAAA